Molecule: ribosomal RNA, 119 nt
Organism: Astatotilapia calliptera (eastern happy)
Lineage: Eukaryota; Metazoa; Chordata; Actinopteri; Cichliformes; Cichlidae
Source: Ensembl
AUUAAUUAAUGUACCACCCUGAACGCGCCCGAUCUCGUCUGAUCUCGGAAGCUAAGCAGGGUCGGGCCUGGUCAGUACUUGGAUGGGAGACCGCCUGGGAAUACCAGGUGCUGUAAGUU